UACAGAGGGUGCGAGCGUUAAUCGGAAUUACUGGGCGUAAAGCGCGCGUAGGCGGCUUUGCAAGUCGGGUGUGAAAUCCCCAGGCUUAACCUGGGAACUGCAUUCGAGACUGCAUUGCUAGAGUGUGGGAGAGGCGCGUGGAAUUGCAGGUGUAGCGGUGAAAUGCGUAGAUAUCUGCAGGAACACCCGUGGCGAAAGCGGCGCGCUGGACCACUACUGACGCUGAGGAACGAAAGCUAGGGGAGCAAACAGG
This 253-nucleotide ribosomal RNA is filed under the name uncultured bacterium. RNAcentral describes it as "partial 16S ribosomal RNA". It matches the Rfam family "Bacterial small subunit ribosomal RNA", at positions 524 to 776 of the family's 1533-position model. The record is from RNAcentral.